GCGGCGCCCGGACUGAGGCUUUUUGAGGCCCGGUAGGCGGCAGUCCUGUCCGGCAGGGUCGGAGUCGGUCUGGGGUUCGGGAUUCUAAUCGUUUAAUGAUAAUAAUCGUUAGCCUCGGCCAACUGGUCCCUGUCGAUCAAGAUUGCCAUCUAACGUAGUCCACUUCCCAUUCGUCAACCUGUCCAAGCUCCUUUCUAAUACCGUAACAUCAGACGCAAUCUGCACUGUGUAGGAGAGUGGUCCAGUUCAGUCCCUAAUCUUUCCAAGUAACCACUUUUGUAGAUCCUCGCCAGGACUACUUGUCCAAGAGUGACACAUAAAACCUCCUUGUGUGAGAAACCCUCAAGUGAUGUUCCUUGUCUUCCUACCUGCUGUCAUCGAGGUAACACUGAAUGCCUGGGCAGCCUUACAGCACCUGGUCCGUAGAUUUCUGCCAAAGUGCAGGUGCAGAUGCUACUCCAAAAAUAAGCCUAUUACUGUAUACGAUAAAGCCCUUCGUGGUGAAAAGCAUUUUGGACUCUUCUUCCAUCUCCAUCUGUAGCUAGGCCUCAGCAAAGUCCACUUUGAUGAGGUGAUUCCCUCCAGAAAGGUUUGCAAAUAUAUAGUCAAUCCUGGGCAGAGGUAUUAAUCUAUCUUCAGUUGAUGACGACCCUAAAAUCACCAUAGAUCCUGACUUGGCUACUGGAACCACUGGCAAUGCCUAUGGGCACUACUCAAUCUUGGAAAGAAUUCCUUCAGCUUCUAUGCAAUCAACCUCACUGGCUACUUUAUAUGGAUGGUAUAAGGAAUCGGAUGGGCUUUGUAAAACUUGGAUGUGACAUUUUCACUUAACACUUUUUUACCCUUGAUAGUUUUGAGUUUUCCAAUGCCAUCCUUCAAACACUGCUGUGGCAUCAUCCAGUACCUUUCUUAAUUCGCUUUCAGUUGACUUUACUGGAGGAGAUGUAGCAAGCAAAUCGUGGCUGGGUCUCCAAUCAAGUUGUAGUUGUCUUCAUCCAAUCAAGGCCCCAGUGCGGGCCUGCCUGUUUUUACCACAUACAAGCCCAAAGUGGCUUCUUGGUUGUUGUAUUUCACGGUUAGGAAUGUCAUUCCCACAGGAGUUAUCUUUUCUCGAGUGUAAGUUCUUAGUUGGAUAUCUGCAGGCUUCACUUCAUAGAACAUAGAACAGUACAACACAGGAACAGGCCAUUUAGCCCACAGUGUUGUGCCAAACCAGCUAAAAAGCAGAUCAAAAACACCCAAACACUAAUCCCUUCUACCUACGCCAUGUCCAUAGCCCUCCAUUUUCCUUAUGUCCAUGUGCUUACCCAAGCAUCUCUUCUUAAAAGCCUCUAGUGUGUUUUCCUCUACCACCAUACAAGGCAGCACAUUCCAGGCAUCCACCACUCUCUGAGUAAAAAAUGUACCUCUCACAUCCCCCUUGAACCUACCUUCUCUCACCUUCAAUGCAUGCCUUCUGGCAUUACUCAUUUCAACCCUGAGAAGCAGAUACUCUCUACCUUUCUGAAGCCCAGCAACAACUGUCAAACACUUCCUCUUACUUACCCCUCAAACAGGAUCCCACUAAGGAGCACCAGGCCAUUGUUUCCCACACCAUCUCCGUACUUAUUGACUCUGGGGAUCUCCCAUCCACUGUCACCAAUCUCAUAGUUCCCUCAUCCCACACCUCCCGUUUCUACCUCCUACCCAAGAUCCACAAACCUGCCUGUCCAGGUAGACCCAUUGUUUCUACUUGUUCCUGCCCCACUGAACUCAUAUCUGCAUAACCUCCACUCGGUUUUAUCCUCCCUGGUUCAGUCUCUUCCUACCUACAUCCAUGACACUUCACAUGUUCUUCAUCUUUUCAAUAACUUCCAGUUCCCUGGCCCCGAUCAUCUUAUUUUCACUAUGGAUGUCCAGUCCCUUUACACCUCCAUCCCUCACCAGGAAGGCCUGAAAGCUUUCUGUUUCUUUCUUAACACCAGACCCAACCAGUUCCCCUCCACCACCACUCUCCUCCGUCUACUGGAACUUGUCCUCACUCUCAAUAAUUUCUCCUUUGGCUGCUCUCACUUUCUUCAAACAAAAGAUGUAGCUACGGGUACUCGCAUGGUUCCCAGCUACGCCUGCCUUUUUGUCAGCUACAUGGGACGGUCUAUGUUCCAAGCCUACACUGGUGACCGUCUUCCAUUUUUCCUACGCUACAUCGAUGACUGCAUUGGUGCUGCUUCCUGCACCCUUGCAGAGCUCAUCGACUUCAUCAAUAUUGCCUCCAGCUUCCACCCCGCCCUCAAAUUUACUUGGUCCAUUACUGACACCUCCCUCCUCUUUCUCAAGCUCUCUGUCUCUAUCUCCAGAGACAGCUUAUCUACUGAUGUCUAUUAUAAACCCAUGGACUCUCACAGCUACCUGGGCUAUACAUCUUCCCACCCUGUUACUUGAAAAAAUGCCAUCCCCUUCUCUCAAUUCCUCCGUCUCCAAUACAUCUGCUCUCAGGAUGCGGCUUUUCAUUCCAGAAAGAAAGGAGAUGUACUUCUUUAAGAAAGGGGCUUCCCUUCGUCCACCAUCAACACUGCCCUCAGCCGUAUCUCUUCCAUUUCGUGCACGUCUGCAUUCACCACAUCCUCCCGUCACACCAUCAGAGAUAGGGUUCCUCUUAUCAUCACAUACCACCACACUAUCCUCCGUGUCCAGCAUAUAAUUCUCCUUAACUUCUGCCAUCUCCCACGGGAUCCCACUACCAAGCACGUCUUUCCCUCCCCUGAAUUUCUGCUUUCCACAGGGAUCGUUCCCUAUGUGACUCCCUUGGCCAUUCGUCCCUCCCCACUGAUCUCCCUCCCGGCCCUUAUCCUUGCAAGUGGAACAAGUGCUACACCUGCCCCUACACCUCCUCCCUCACUACCAUUCAGGGCCCCAAACAACCCUUCCAGGUGAGGUGACGCUUCACCUGUGAAUCUGUUGGGGUCAUCUAUUGUAUCCGAUGCUCCCAGUGUAGCCUCCUGUAUAUUGGUGAGACCCGACGUAGAUUGGGAGACUGUUUCACCGAGCGCCUAUGUUCCAUCCGCCAGAAAAAGCAGGAUCUCCCAGUGGCUACCUAUUUUAAUUCCACUUCCCAUUCCGACAUGUCAGUCCAUGGCCUCCUCUACUGUCACGAUGAGGCCACAUUCAGGUUGGAGGAGCAACACAUUAUAGUCCAUCUGGGUAGCCUCCAACCUGAUGGCACGAACAUCAAUUUCUCGAACUUCUGGUAAUGCCUCCACCCACGUUCACCAUUCUUCAUAACCAUUUCGUUCUCUCACCUUAUCUCCUUACCUGCCAAUCGCCUCCCUCUGGUGCUCCACCUCCUUUUCUUUCUUCCAUGGCCUUCUGUCCUCUCCUAGGUCCCCCUUCUCCAGCCCUGUAUCUCUUUCACCAAUCAACUAUCCAGCUCUUUAUUUCACCCCUCCCCCUCCCAGUUUCACCUAUCUCCUUGUGUUUCUUCCACCCCACCUUCUUACUCUGACUCCUCAUCAUUUUUUUUCUCCAGUCCUGAUGAAGGGUCUCGGCCAAAAUAUUGACUCUACUCAUUUCCAUGGAUGCUGCCUGGCCUGCUGAGCUCCCCCAGCAUUUUGUGAGUGUUGGUUGAAUUUACAGCAGACUUUCUCUUGUCUGCAGUUGGACUCUCUGUCCACUAUAUCUGUGCCUCAAAUAAUCUUGUUCAAAGGUCAAAGUAAAUUUAUUAUCAGAGUACAUACAUUUCAACACAUACAACACUGAGAUUCUUUUUUCUGUGAGUGUACUUAGCAAAUCUAUAGAGUAGUAAUUGUAAACAGGAUCUGUAAACUGUAAACAAACUGUGCAAAUGCAGAUAAUAAAUAAAUAGCAGUAA
Molecule: long non-coding RNA, 3847 nt
Organism: Mobula hypostoma (lesser devil ray)
Lineage: Eukaryota; Metazoa; Chordata; Chondrichthyes; Myliobatiformes; Myliobatidae
Exons: 3
Source: RefSeq, a predicted model, not a curated record